CGAGGGGUCCUAGCGUUGUUCGGAAUCAUUGGGCGUAAAGAGUCUGUAGGCGGUUUUGUAAGUCAGGUGUGAAAGCCCCGGGCUCAACCCGGGAAGUGCAUCUGAUACUGCUUAACUUGAAUGUUGGAGAGGAUAGCGGAAUUCCUGGUGUAGUGGUGAAAUACGUAGAUAUCAGGAGGAACACCGGUGGCGAAGGCGGUUAUCUGGCCAAACAUUGACGCUGAGAGUCGAAAGCGUGGGGAGCAAACAGGAUUAGAUACCCUGGUAGUCCACGCCGUAAACGAUGGGUACUUGGUGUUGGAGGUAUUGACCCCUUCAGUGCCGAAGCUAACGCGAUAAGUGCCCCGCCUGGGGAGUACGGCCGCAAGGUUA
This 372-nucleotide ribosomal RNA is filed under the name uncultured organism. RNAcentral's name for it is "bacterial SSU rRNA". It matches the Rfam family "Bacterial small subunit ribosomal RNA", at positions 526 to 896 of the family's 1533-position model. The record is from RNAcentral.